GACAAACGCUGGCGGCGUACCUAAGACAUGCAAGUCGAACGGGUGCCUGUUCUUCGGAACGGGUUGCUAGUGGCGGAUGGGUGAGUAACGCGUAGGAACCUAUCGCACAGUGGGGGAUAACGCUGGGAAACCGGCGCUAAUACCGCAUGUGAUCAGUGAUGAAGAAAGCGAGUAAUCGCGCUGUGUGAGGGGCCUGCGUCCGAUUAGCUUGUUGGUGGGGUAAAGGCCUACCAAGGCGACGAUCGGUAGCUGGUCUGAGAGGAUGGUCAGCCACACU
RNAcentral lists this ribosomal RNA (277 nucleotides) under uncultured bacterium. Its description in RNAcentral is "partial 16S ribosomal RNA". It matches the Rfam family "Bacterial small subunit ribosomal RNA", at positions 28 to 314 of the family's 1533-position model. The record is from RNAcentral.